GGUGCAAUGGGUAAGUGCUUUCGGCUGUUAACCAAAACGUUGGUGGUUCAAACCCACCUAGCACCU
Molecule: transfer RNA, 66 nt
Filed under: Loxodonta africana (African savanna elephant)
Lineage: Eukaryota; Metazoa; Chordata; Mammalia; Proboscidea; Elephantidae
Rfam family: tRNA
About the family: Transfer RNA (tRNA) molecules are approximately 80 nucleotides in length. Their secondary structure includes four short double-helical elements and three loops (D, anti-codon, and T loops).
Source: Rfam by way of RNAcentral